UACGGAGGAUCCGAGCGUUAUCCGGAUUUAUUGGGUUUAAAGGGAGCGUAGGUGGAUUGUUAAGUCAGUUGUGAAAGUUUGCGGCUCAACCGUAAAAUUGCAGUUGAAACUGGCAGUCUUGAGUGGGCGAGAAGUAUGCGGAAUGCGUGGUGUAGCGGUGAAAUGCAUAGAUAUCACGCAGAACGCCGAUUGCGAAGGCAGCAUACCGGCGCCCAACUGACGCUGAGGCACGAAAGCGUGGGGAUCGAACAGG
This 253-nucleotide ribosomal RNA is filed under the name uncultured Bacteroidales bacterium. Its description in RNAcentral is "partial 16S ribosomal RNA". It matches the Rfam family "Bacterial small subunit ribosomal RNA", at positions 524 to 776 of the family's 1533-position model. The record is from RNAcentral. Lineage: Bacteria; Pseudomonadati; Bacteroidota; Bacteroidia; Bacteroidales.